Molecule: long non-coding RNA, 356 nt
Organism: Cercocebus atys (sooty mangabey)
Lineage: Eukaryota; Metazoa; Chordata; Mammalia; Primates; Cercopithecidae
Exons: 3
Source: RefSeq, a predicted model, not a curated record
CCAUCCCAGAGCCUGCCCAGGGCCAGUCUGGAGCCACAGCAUCUGUGAGGUGCCUCUGCUACCUGUGCUGCCCUCCUCGGGGAGUGUCUACUGCCCAACCCACCAGUUGACUUGCUGGAUGCAAUGAAUCUGCUAUUGUCCACCUCCAGGCUUCUCAAAUACUUCUUGUCCAAAUUCUGUGUGGUUGCUCCCCUCUACACGGGAAAAAAGGGACUUUUUCUUCUGAGCCAGGCUUUGAAAAUGUCAAGGACACAGACUUCAAGACGUCAGCUUGGAGGCAGAGACUGGACCUUCACCAGACACAAAACCUACUGGUGCCUUGAUCUUAAACUUCCUUCCCAGCCUCCAGAACUAUG